UGAAUAAUUCGGUGUUGUAGA
Molecule: non-coding RNA, 21 nt
Filed under: Caenorhabditis elegans
Lineage: Eukaryota; Metazoa; Nematoda; Chromadorea; Rhabditida; Rhabditidae
Source: RNAcentral